This 761-nucleotide ribosomal RNA is filed under the name uncultured Neisseriaceae bacterium. RNAcentral's name for it is "bacterial SSU rRNA". It matches the Rfam family "Bacterial small subunit ribosomal RNA", at positions 28 to 776 of the family's 1533-position model. Lineage: Bacteria; Pseudomonadati; Pseudomonadota; Betaproteobacteria; Neisseriales; Neisseriaceae. The record is from RNAcentral.
AUUGAACGCUGGCGGCAUGCUUUACACAUGCAAGUCGGACGGCAGCAUAGAAGAGCUUGCUCUUUUGAUGGCGAGUGGCGAACGGGUGAGUAAUGCAUCGGAACGUACCGAGUAGUGGGGGAUAACUGUCCGAAAGGAUGGCUAAUACCGCAUAUUCUCUGAGGAGGAAAGCAGGGGACCUUAGGGCCUUGCGCUAUUUGAGCGGCCGAUGUCUGAUUAGCUAGUUGGUGGGGUAAGAGCCCACCAAGGCGACGAUCAGUAGCGGGUCUGAGAGGAUGAUCCGCCACACUGGGACUGAGACACGGCCCAGACUCCUACGGGAGGCAGCAGUGGGGAAUUUUGGACAAUGGGCGCAAGCCUGAUCCAGCCAUGCCGCGUGUAUGAAGAAGGCCUUCGGGUUGUAAAGUACUUUUGUCAGGGAAGAAAAGCCUGGGGAUAACACCCUCAGGUCAUGACGGUACCUGAAGAAUAAGCACCGGCUAACUACGUGCCAGCAGCCGCGGUAAUACGUAGGGUGCGAGCGUUAAUCGGAAUUACUGGGCGUAAAGCGAGCGCAGACGGUUAUUUAAGCAAGAUGUGAAAGCCCCGGGCUCAACCUGGGAACUGCGUUUUGAACUGGGUAACUAGAGUGUGUCAGAGGGGGGUUGAAUUCCACGUGUAGCAGUGAAAUGCGUAGAGAUGUGGAGGAAUACCGAUGGCGAAGUGCGGCCCCCCUGGGAGAACACUGACGUUCAUGCUCCGAAGCGUGGGUAGCAAACAGG